Molecule: long non-coding RNA, 2056 nt
Organism: Oncorhynchus keta (chum salmon)
Lineage: Eukaryota; Metazoa; Chordata; Actinopteri; Salmoniformes; Salmonidae
Exons: 10
Source: RefSeq, a predicted model, not a curated record
UGGAGGGAUAAAUAACUUUGUGUGGUGAUAUGUUACAGGUCCUUGAGGGAGAUGGAGGGAUAAAUAACUUUGUGUGGUGAUAUGUUACAGGUCCUUGAGGGAGAUGGAGGGAUAAAUAACUUUGUGUGGUGAUAUGUUACAGGUCCUUGAGGGAGAUGGAGGGAUAAAUAACUUUGUGUUGUGAUAUGUUACAGGUCCUUGAGGGAGAUGGAGGGAUAAAUAACUUUGUGUGGUGAUAUGUUACAGGUCCUUGAGGGAGAUGGAGGGAUAAAUAACUUUGUGUGGUGAUAUGUUACAGGUCCUUGAGGGAGUCUGAGGGAUAAAUAACUUUGUGUGGUGAUAUGUUACAGGUCCUUGAGGGAGAUGGAGGGAUAAAUAACUUUGUGUGGUGAUAUGUUACAGGUCCUUGAGGGAGAUGGAGGGAUACAUAACUUUGUGUGGUGAUAUGUUACAGGUCCUUGAGGGAGAUGGAGGGAUAAAUAACUUUGUGUGGUGAUAUGUUACAGGUCCUUGAGGGAGAUGGAGGGAUAAAUAACUUUGUGUGGUGAUAUGUUACAGGUCCUUGAGGGAGAUGGAGGGAUAAAUAACUUUGUGUGGUGAUAUGUUACAGGUCCUUGAGGGAGAUGGAGGGAUAAAUAACUUUGUGUGGUGAUAUGUUACAGGUCCUUGAGGGAGAUGGAGGGAUAAAUAACUUUGUGUGGUGAUAUGUUACAGGUCCUUGAGGGAGAUGGAGGGAUAAAUAACUUUGUGUGGUGAUAUGUUACAGGUCCUUGAGGGAGAUGGAGGGAUAAAUAACUUUGUGUGGUGAUAUGUUACAGGUCCUUGAGGGAGAUGGAGGGAUAAAUAACUUUGUGUGGUGAUAUGUUACAGGUCCUUGAGGGAGAUGGAGGGAUAAAUAACUUUGUGUGGUGAUAUGUUACAGGUCCUUGAAGGAGAUGGAGGGAUAAAUAACUUUGUGUGGUGAUAUGUUACAGGUCCUUGAGGGAGAUGGAGGGAUAAAUAACUUUGUGUGGUGAUAUGUUACAGGUCCUUGAGGGAGAUGGAGGGAUAAAUAACUUUGUGUGGUGAUAUGUUACAGGUCCUUGAGGGAGAUGGAGGGAUAAAUAACUUUGUGUGGUGAUAUGUUACAGGUCCUUGAGGGAGAUGGAGGGAUACAUAACUUUGUGUGGUGAUAUGUUACAGGUCCUUGAGGGAGAUGGAGGGAUAAAUAACUUUGUGUGGUGAUAUGUUACAGGUCCUUGAAGGAGAUGGAGGGAUAAAUAACUUUGUGUGGUGAUAUGUUACAGGUCCUUGAGGGAGAUGGAGGGAUAAAUAACUUUGUGUGGUGAUAUGUUACAGGUCCUUGAGGGAGAUGGAGGGAUAAAUAACUUUGUGUGGUGAUAUGUUACAGGUCCUUGAGGGAGAUGGAGGGAUACAUAACUUUGUGUGGUGAUAUGUUACAGGUCCUUGAGGGAGAUGGAGGGAUAAAUAACUUUGUGUGGUGAUAUGUUACAGGUCCUUGAGGGAGAUGGAGGGAUAAAUAACUUUGUGUGGUGAUAUGUUACAGGUCCUUGAGGGAGAUGGAGGGAUAAAUAACUUUGUGUGGUGAUAUGUUACAGGUCCUUGAGGGAGAUGGAGGGAUAAAUAACUUUGUGUGGUGAUAUGUUACAGGUCCUUGAGGGAGAUGGAGGGAUAAAUAACUUUGUGUGGUGAUAUGUUACAGGUCCUUGAGGGAGAUGGAGGGAUAAAUAACUUUGUGUGGUGAUAUGUUACAGGUCCUUGAUGGAGGGAUAAAUAACUUUGUGUGGUGAUAUGUUACAGGUCCUUGAUGGAGGGAUAAAUAACUUUGUGUGGUGAUAUGUUACAGGUCCUUGAGGGAGAUGGAGGGAUAAAUAACUUUGUGUGGUGAUAUGUUACAGGUCCUUGAGGGAGAUGGAGGGAUAAAUAACUUUGUGUGGUGAUAUGUUACAGGUCCUUGAUGGAGGGAUAAAUAACUUUGUGUGGUGAUAUGUUACAGGUCCUUGAGGGAGAUGGAGGGAUAAAUAACUUUGUGUGGUGAUAUGUUACAGGUCCUUGA